This 345-nucleotide unclassified non-coding RNA is filed under the name soil metagenome. RNAcentral describes it as "partial contains 5.8S ribosomal RNA, internal transcribed spacer 2, and large subunit ribosomal RNA". The stretch from base 1 to 120 matches the Rfam family "5.8S ribosomal RNA", at positions 35 to 154 of the family's 154-position model. The record is from RNAcentral.
GAUGAAGAACGCAGCGAAAUGCGAUAAGUAGUGUGAAUUGCAGAAUUCCGUGAAUCAUCGAAUCUUUGAACGCACAUUGCGCCCUCUGGUAUUCCGGGGGGCAUGCCUGUCCGAGCGUCAUUUGCAACCCUCAAGCCCGGCUUGUGUGAUGGGUGCCGUCCCCUACGGGACGCGCCCCGAAGGCAAUGGCGGCGUCGCGGUUAUCCGAUCAGCCAAAGUGUAUGGGGCUUUGUCACUCACUUUACGGCCCGGACCGGCGCCAGUCCGAAUCAAUCUUUUUUCUAAAGUUGACCUCGGAUCAGGUAGGGAUACCCGCUGAACUUAAGCAUAUCAAUAAGCGGAGGA